This 586-nucleotide ribosomal RNA is filed under the name uncultured bacterium. RNAcentral's name for it is "partial 16S ribosomal RNA". It matches the Rfam family "Bacterial small subunit ribosomal RNA", at positions 722 to 1312 of the family's 1533-position model. The record is from RNAcentral.
CAGCNUCCUGGGAUAACACUGACGCUCAUGCACGAAAGCGUGGGGAGCAANCAGGAUUAGAUACCCUGGUAGUCCACGCCCUAAACGAUGUCUACUAGUUGUCGGGGAUUAAUUUCCUUGGUAACGCAACUAACGCGUGAAGUAGACCGCCUGGGGAGUACGGUCGUAAGAUUAAAACUCAAAGGAAUUGACGGGGACCCGCACAAGCGGUGGAUGAUGUGGAUUAAUUCGAUGCAACGCGAAAAACCUUACCUACGCUUGACAUGUCCGGAACCCUGAAGAGAUUUGGGGGUGCUCGAAAGAGAGCCGGAACACAGGUGCUGCAUGGCUGUCGUCAGCUCGUGUCGUGAGAUGUUGGGUUNNNNNNNNNCNNCGAGCGCAACCCUUAUCAUUAGUUGCUACGCAAGGGCACUCUAAUGAGACUGCCGGUGACAAACCGGAGGAAGGCGGGGAUGACGUCAAGUCCUCAUGGCCCUUAUGUGUAGGGCUUCACACGUCAUACAAUGGUCGGUACAGAGGGUUGCGAAGCCGCGAGGUGGAGCCAAUCCCAAAAAACCGAUCGUAGUCCGGAUUGCAGUCUGCAACU